This 253-nucleotide ribosomal RNA is filed under the name uncultured bacterium. RNAcentral's name for it is "partial 16S ribosomal RNA". It matches the Rfam family "Bacterial small subunit ribosomal RNA", at positions 524 to 776 of the family's 1533-position model. The record is from RNAcentral.
UACGAGGGGGGCGAGCGUUGUUCGGAAUUAUUGGGCGUAAAGGGUGCGUAGGCGGUUCCGCAAGUCCUGUGUGAAAUCUUCGGGCUCAACUCGAAGUCUGCACGGGAAACUGCGGGGCUUGAGUGUGGGAGAGGUGAGUGGAAUUCCUAGUGUAGAGGUGAAAUUCGUAGAUAUUAGGAAGAACACCAGUGGCGAAGGCGGCUCACUGGAUCGGUACUGACGCUGAGGUGCGAAAGCGUGGGGAGCAAACAGG